GGAGCUGUGCCCGAAAGAUCUCAAGGACCACUUUGAUAGAGUGAUUUAUGGGGGUUAAAAUCCCCCCAGCUUCU
Molecule: transfer RNA, 74 nt
Filed under: Crenuchus spilurus (sailfin tetra)
Lineage: Eukaryota; Metazoa; Chordata; Actinopteri; Characiformes; Crenuchidae
Description: tRNA-Ile
Rfam family: tRNA
About the family: Transfer RNA (tRNA) molecules are approximately 80 nucleotides in length. Their secondary structure includes four short double-helical elements and three loops (D, anti-codon, and T loops). Further hydrogen bonds mediate the characteristic L-shaped molecular structure. tRNAs have two regions of fundamental functional importance: the anti-codon, which is responsible for specific mRNA codon recognition, and the 3' end, to which the tRNAs corresponding amino acid is attached (by aminoacyl-tRNA synthetases). tRNAs cope with the degeneracy of the genetic code in two manners: having more than one tRNA (with a specific anti-codon) for a particular amino acid; and 'wobble' base-pairing, i.e. permitting non-standard base-pairing at the 3rd anti-codon position.
Source: RNAcentral